Molecule: long non-coding RNA, 297 nt
Organism: Nannospalax galili (Upper Galilee mountains blind mole rat)
Lineage: Eukaryota; Metazoa; Chordata; Mammalia; Rodentia; Spalacidae
Exons: 3
Source: RefSeq, a predicted model, not a curated record
GCCUCGGCUCCGUCCCCGUCUCGGCUCAGUCCACCUGUCGCACUUGGGAGCCCGGCGCACCCGAGCUAGUCGCGAGGAGCAGGCAGCUGAGACCUUCCCAGGCCUGUGGGACCGACUUAACACUACGAUCUGAAGAGCAGAUAAAAUUCAGCAUCGUCACCAGUCUGAUGGAGCCACCCAGUGACUUCCUGUUCCAUGACCUUUAUUCUUCUGACCGUGAAGAGGAUGGGGACCCUCCACCCUUGCUUGCACCGAUGUACCCGUGUCGUGCAAUGCCUGUGAAGUCAGAAGACGGCG